UACGUAGGGUGCGAGCGCUGUCCGGAAUUAUUGGGCGUAAAGAGCUCGUAGGCGGUCUGUCGCGUCGAUCGUGAAAACUUGGGGCUUAACCCUGAGCUUGCGGUUGAUACGGGCAUGACUGGAGUUCGGCAGGGGAGACUGGAAUUCCUGGUGUAGCGGUGAAAUGCGCAGAUAUCAGGAGGAACACCGGUGGCGAAGGCGGGUCUCUGGGCCGAUACUGACGCUGAGGAGCGAAAGCGUGGGGAGCGAACAGG
RNAcentral lists this ribosomal RNA (254 nucleotides) under uncultured bacterium. Its description in RNAcentral is "partial 16S ribosomal RNA". It matches the Rfam family "Bacterial small subunit ribosomal RNA", at positions 524 to 776 of the family's 1533-position model. The record is from RNAcentral.